UGGGGAAUAUUGCACAAUGGGGGAAACCCUGAUGCAGCAACGCCGCGUGAGUGAUGACGGCCGUCGGGUUGUAAAGCUCUGUCUUCAGGGCCGAUAAUGACGGUACCUGAGGAGGAAGCCACGGCUAACUACGUGCCAGCAGCCGCGGUAAUACGUAGGUGGCAAGCGUUGUCCGGAUUUACUGGGCGUAAAGGGAGCGUAGGCGGACUUUUAAGUGAGAUGUGAAAUACCCGGGCUCAACCUGGGUGCUGCAUUUCAAACUGGAAGUCUAGAGUGCAGGAGAGGAGAGUGGAAUUCCUAGUGUAGCGGUGAAAUGCGUAGUGAUUAGGAAGAACACCAGUGGCGAAGGCGACUCUCUGGACUGUAACUGACGCUGAGGCUCGA
RNAcentral lists this ribosomal RNA (384 nucleotides) under uncultured bacterium. RNAcentral describes it as "bacterial SSU rRNA". It matches the Rfam family "Bacterial small subunit ribosomal RNA", at positions 355 to 756 of the family's 1533-position model. The record is from RNAcentral.